Molecule: ribosomal RNA, 301 nt
Filed under: uncultured bacterium
Lineage: Bacteria
Description: partial 16S ribosomal RNA
Rfam family: Bacterial small subunit ribosomal RNA
Source: RNAcentral
CAGCCGCCACGGUAAAACGGAGGGGGCUAGCGUUGUUCGGAAUUACUGGGCGUAAAGCGCACGUAGGCGGCUUGGUAAGUUAGAGGUGAAAGCCCGGAGCUCAACUCCGGAAUUGCCUUUGAUACUGGGUGUCUUGAGUGUGAUAGAGGUAUGUGGAACUCCGAGUGUAGAGGUGAAAUUCGUAGAUAUUCGGAAGAACACCAGUGGCGAAGGCGACUGACUGGACAAGUAUUGACGCUGAGGUGCGAAAGCGUGGGGAGCAAACAGGAUUAGAUACCCCCGUAGUCCCUGUCUCUUAUCC